RNAcentral lists this non-coding RNA (562 nucleotides) under Pan troglodytes (chimpanzee). The record is from RNAcentral. Lineage: Eukaryota; Metazoa; Chordata; Mammalia; Primates; Hominidae.
CACACGGCUGCAGUGACUUGCCCAAGGACACUGCCGGGGCUUGAGUGUUGGAGGACUUGAGCCUUAGAGUGUUGAACACUUAGAAGUGUUGAAGAGCUAGUUUGAGAACUAGCUCUGCCAUGAGCUGUGACACAAUGGCCAUUAUCUUGUUGCGCCUUGAGUAUAUUAUCCCUAAAAUGGGAUAAUUGCUGCCCUGCCUGUAUUAUGUGAUUAUUGAAGAACGGAGUGAAGAAACAGCUAUUCUAGCAAAUAUUUACUGAGUGCUUACUUUCCGAAUGUUCUAAUCCUUCACGCAACCCAACCGCUUCUGACAGCAGUCCUGCCGCUUAGACGGAGUUUCACCACGUCUCAAACUCCUGGCUUGUCUCAAACUCCUAACCUCAAGUGAUCCGCCCGCCUAUUUGAUGAUAAAGUUUGCUGAUCCUGCCCUAGACUAUAAGCUCCAGGAGAGCAGAGACCGCGUCUCUUUCAUCUACUCUGCAUCUCAAUACCUGACUUGGUGCCUGGCUUGAAAUCCAUGGAUAUUUGAAAUGGCCUUGAAAAAUAUGGGAACUGCAUGGAG